Molecule: ribosomal RNA, 494 nt
Filed under: uncultured bacterium
Lineage: Bacteria
Description: partial 16S ribosomal RNA
Rfam family: Bacterial small subunit ribosomal RNA
Source: RNAcentral
GACGAACGCUGGCGGCGUGCUUAACACAUGCAAGUCGAACGGUGAAGCGCCUUCCUUUUUGGUGGGUGUGGAUGAGGGGCGAACGGGUGAGUAACACGUGAGUAACCUGCCCCCUUCUUCGGGAUAACCGCAUGAAAGUGUGGCUAAUACGGGAUAUUCUGGGUCUGUCGCAUGAUGGGUCUGGGAAAGAUAUUGUUUCGGUGGGGGAUGGGCGCGCGUCCUAUCAGCAUUUUGGUGGGGUGAUGGCCUACCAAGGCGGUGACGGGUAGCCGGCCUGAGAGGGUGGACGGUCACACUGGGACAGAGACACGGCCCAGACUCGUACGGGCGGCAGCAGUGGGGAAUAGUGGACAAUGGGAGCAAGCCUGAUGCAGCGACACCGCGUGAGGGAUGGAGGCCUUCGGGUUGUGAACCUCUUUCGCCAGUAAAGCAGGCCUGCCUCGUUUGUGGGUGGGUUGACGGUAGCUGGAUAAGAAGCGCCGGCUAACUACGUG